This 519-nucleotide ribosomal RNA is filed under the name Curtobacterium sp. RNAcentral's name for it is "bacterial SSU rRNA". It matches the Rfam family "Bacterial small subunit ribosomal RNA", at positions 62 to 593 of the family's 1533-position model. The record is from RNAcentral. Lineage: Bacteria; Bacillati; Actinomycetota; Actinomycetes; Micrococcales; Microbacteriaceae.
UCGAACGAUGAUCAGGAGCUUGCUCCUGUGAUUAGUGGCGAACGGGUGAGUAACACGUGAGUAACCUGCCCCUGACUCUGGGAUAAGCGUUGGAAACGACGUCUAAUACUGGAUACGACUGCCGGCCGCAUGGUCUGGUGGUGGAAAGAUUUUUUGGUUGGGGAUGGACUCGCGGCCUAUCAGCUUGUUGGUGAGGUAAUGGCUCACCAAGGCGACGACGGGUAGCCGGCCUGAGAGGGUGACCGGCCACACUGGGACUGAGACACGGCCCAGACUCCUACGGGAGGCAGCAGUGGGGAAUAUUGCACAAUGGGCGAAAGCCUGAUGCAGCAACGCCGCGUGAGGGAUGACGGCCUUCGGGUUGUAAACCUCUUUUAGUAGGGAAGAAGCGAAAGUGACGGUACCUGCAGAAAAAGCACCGGCUAACUACGUGCCAGCAGCCGCGGUAAUACGUAGGGUGCGAGCGUUGUCCGGAAUUAUUGGGCGUAAAGAGCUCGUAGGCGGUUUGUCGCGUCUGCU